RNAcentral lists this transfer RNA (62 nucleotides) under Chelopistes texanus. RNAcentral's name for it is "tRNA-Met". Lineage: Eukaryota; Metazoa; Arthropoda; Insecta; Psocodea; Philopteridae. The record is from RNAcentral.
UUGAAGGUAAGCUAAAUUAAGCUUUUAGACUCAUGCUCUAAAAAUGGAACUUCCCCUUCAAA